This 236-nucleotide long non-coding RNA is filed under the name Drosophila guanche. The record is from RNAcentral. Lineage: Eukaryota; Metazoa; Arthropoda; Insecta; Diptera; Drosophilidae.
GACAAGUUAUGAAAAACUACCGGAAAAAAGGAUGCUUAGUUUAAAUGUUUGCUUACAAACCUUAUGAAUAGGACCUACAUAUUGACCUGUGAAUUGGUUAAAAAACUUCUCCCGGUCGUCAGUCGAAAUGGGCUCAUCACAGGCAUAGCACUCUCCAUGUUCCUGAUAGUCCUCAUCCCAAAUGUUGAACUCGUAGAUUGGUUUUUUAGCGGAUUUCCAGUACUUCUCAUAAAGUC